RNAcentral lists this transfer RNA (79 nucleotides) under Rhizobium sp. MHM7A. RNAcentral's name for it is "tRNA-Leu". It matches the Rfam family "tRNA". From Rfam's summary of the family: Transfer RNA (tRNA) molecules are approximately 80 nucleotides in length. Their secondary structure includes four short double-helical elements and three loops (D, anti-codon, and T loops). The record is from RNAcentral. Lineage: Bacteria; Pseudomonadati; Pseudomonadota; Alphaproteobacteria; Hyphomicrobiales; Rhizobiaceae.
GCGGCGAUGGCGAAAGUGGUAGACGCGCUGGGUUCAAAACUCGGUAAAUUUGGGAGUUCGAGUCUCCUUCGCCGUACCA